This 745-nucleotide ribosomal RNA is filed under the name uncultured bacterium. RNAcentral's name for it is "bacterial SSU rRNA". It matches the Rfam family "Bacterial small subunit ribosomal RNA", at positions 57 to 815 of the family's 1533-position model. The record is from RNAcentral.
GCAGUUGAGCGGAGAUAUAUGGAGCUUGCUUUAUAUAACUUAGCAGCGAACGGGUGAGUAACACGUAGAUAAUCUAUCCUAUACUGGGGGAUAGCCCGAUGAAAGUUGGAUUAAUACCGCAUAUAGCUAUAUAGUUGCAUGAUUAUGUAGUGAAAGAUUUAUUGGUAUAGGAGGAGUCUGCGGCACAUUAGCUAGUAGGUGAGGUAAAGGCUUACCUAGGCGACGAUGUGUAGCCGGUCUGAGAGGAUGAACGGCCACAAUGGAACUGAGACACGGUCCAUACUCCUACGGGAGGCAGCAGUGGGGAAUAUUGCACAAUGGGGGAAACCCUGAUGCAGCAACGCCGCGUGAGUGAAGAAGGUUUUCGGAUUGUAAAGCUCUGUUAGCAGGGAAGAGGAAGGACGGUACCUGCAGAGGAAGCCACGGCUAACUACGUGCCAGCAGCCGCGGUAAUACGUAGGUGGCAAGCGUUGUUCGGAAUAACUGGGCGUAAAGGAUGCGUAGGCGGUUAAACAAGUUAUAUGUUAAAUAUAUAGGCUUAACCUGUAGAAAGCAUAUAAAACUGUUUAACUAGAGUGCAGGAGAGGUAAGUGGAAUUCCUAGUGUAGCGGUGAAAUGCGUAGAGAUUAGGAAGAACACCAGUGGCGAAGGCGACUUACUGGACUGUAACUGACGCUGAGGCAUGAGAGCAUGGGGAGCAAACAGGAUUAGAUACCCUGGUAGUCCAUGCUGUAAACGAUGGGUA